RNAcentral lists this unclassified non-coding RNA (1158 nucleotides) under Hevea brasiliensis (rubber tree). The record is from RNAcentral. Lineage: Eukaryota; Viridiplantae; Streptophyta; Magnoliopsida; Malpighiales; Euphorbiaceae.
CAAGAAAUGGAAAUAUAAAAACUCAAUACAAUUGAAUGAGCGUUUCAAAUUGAGCUACUUCACAGGAAACAAGAACAUUAUUGAAUGCUGUAUAACUCUUUUGUGUUUAUUUCAAAACCUUACAUUCAAUAUAUGCAGUUAGAAAAGAAAAAAGAAAAAGACAAAAAGAGAGCCACAAAAUAAGCUUAUAUGUUUAUUACUCAUGCACAACAAACAAACUAAAAGUAUAGAGGUACGUAGAACCUUGCAAAAUGAUAACGAAAGAGAUUGGUGUGACCAAAAUUACCAAUUUAAGACAUCUUCCAUUUCCCAAAAAGUUAAUAACAAAAUCAAUAAAAUAAUUAAUAACAUUUGAAAACAAAGUAACAAUAACCAUAUAAUUAUUAGCAUUCUCUUAGAGUCUUAGAUUGUGGCUUGGGCAAUUCAGAAACACCUAUUCGUAUUUUUGAUGAGGUUGAUUCUUGGUUUUGAUCAGAUUUUUACAAGCUGUUAUUGAUUUAGAAUGGAGAGGAAUUGAUAAUAAACAACUAAACAAGAUGCUAAAGUUCUUGGAGUUGCAUUUUUUUCCUCUGUUUUAUGGAGCAUUUGAAAAUUUGGAUGGAGAGGAAUGCAUGCAUUUUCAAAGAUCAAUCUCCAUACUUUAAUCUGUUUUGGGAUAAGGUGGUUUCUUGGCUUCUUUGCGAACUCCUUCAAGGACUUUAAAAGAAGUGUCUUUAAACAUUAUUAUGAAUGCCAAUGGAAAGCAUAACGAACACGAAUAUUAUCACUUUAAUUCGUUGUAUUUCAUGUCUAGCAUACUUACUACAGAUAAACUAUUAAAAAUUCAAGAUAGGAAAUUCCUUUAAUUAAACUAAGUUUUAUGUCAAGACAGAGUUUCAUAGGAAUGACAAAAGCAGGGCAAAAGCACCAAUUAUAUACUCAGAUUCUAUAUGAACCUAACUUACAAUCAAAACUAAUGAACAUGUGCCAAGAGUUGCUUGCCAAAGUUCAUAUGUGAUCAAGUGACUAUAAAUUUGUGAGUGAAUCUUGCAUAAAUAAGAAAACUUAAUUCCCUUAUCAUUUCUAAUCCAACUAUUUGAGUUUUACCAUUAACAAAAUCUCCUUAAAAUUGACAUUAUAAUUAAUGAGUGGUUACUUUCUUAAGUAGAAACAGAAGGA